This 500-nucleotide long non-coding RNA is filed under the name Medicago truncatula (barrel medic). RNAcentral's name for it is "long non-coding RNA (MTRU_LNC002924)". Lineage: Eukaryota; Viridiplantae; Streptophyta; Magnoliopsida; Fabales; Fabaceae. The record is from RNAcentral.
UCAAUUCCUAUAUGAUCAUGAAAUUUCUUGAUCAAUUCCUAUAAUAUGAGGAUGCAUAUUUUGUUUUUUCCGCUUCCUUUUUUCUAUUGUGAUUUUUUGCAUGUUUGAUAUCUCAGUAGAUUUGCCUUAAUCACGUAUAGUUUGGAUUCUGGCAAAUCGACGUGUUUUUGUUUAUAUAACAUAAUAUAGAGCCAAUUUGUUACUCUAUUGAUUAAAUUAACCAAUUUCUGGUUUUGAUUGAUUAGGUUUUGAUCUGAAAAAUGGGAGGUGGAAAAGACAAUAAUGAUGAAUCUGCUGACAAGGGAGUUUUCUCACAUUUAGCUCAUGGAUUAGGAGGUGGUCAUGGUUACCCACCUGGGGCCUACCCGCCACCACCAGGGGCAUACCCACCACCACCCGGACAUGGCUACCCUCCACAUCAAGGGGGUUAUCCUCCAGCUGGUUAUCCCCCUCCUGGUGGUUACCCUCCUGCUGGUUAUGCUCAUGGUGGCUAUCCUCCU